RNAcentral lists this long non-coding RNA (609 nucleotides) under Physcomitrium patens. RNAcentral describes it as "long non-coding RNA (PPAT_LNC003136)". Lineage: Eukaryota; Viridiplantae; Streptophyta; Bryopsida; Funariales; Funariaceae. The record is from RNAcentral.
GUGAAGUCUUGCUUGAGAAUGCUCCGGGUACCUGGCUAUCGAAGGAAGAAUAGAAAUUGUGAUAACAAAAUCCUAAAUAGAAUACUAACAAUGCUCUAAUUAGACUAUAAUAAUGGUAAACAAACGUAAUCCAAUUCAAAACAACUCAAAGAAAUUUCAAACAAACAAUAAAAUUCUUAAAGAAAUAUUAGAAUGAUUACAAAUUUUACUCAAAUAUAUGUCAAUUCAACCUUAAUUUAAUUCUAGUUAAAACCCUAUUGAAUUUCACUCAACUUUAGACCAAACCUAAUUAAAUCUUAAACCCUAAUAAUUCCUAAAUCCUAAAUCAAAUCCUAAACAAAUCUUAAAUUAAAUCCUAUUUCAAACCCUAAACUCUAAAUCAAAGCCUAAAUCAAACCCUAAGCUCUAAUCCAAAUCCUAAACCCUAAAUCAAACCCUAAGCUCUAAUCCAAAUCCUAAACCCUAAACCAAACCUCAAAUCAAACUCUAAUCCAAACCCUAAAUCAAACCCUAACCAAACCCUAAAUCCUAAUCCAAAUCCUAAUCCAAAUCCUAAUCCAAUCCUAAACUCUAAUCCAAAUCUUAAACCCUAAACCAAACCUUAAAUCA